GACAUAGGUGACGAACGUUAUCCGGAAUUAUUGGGCGUAAAGGAUGCGUAGAUGGUUCGAUAAGUUACUAGUGGGAAAUCGAGGCUCAACCUCGUGGAAGCUGGUAAUACUGUCAAGCUCGAGUGCAGGAGAGGUUAACGGAACUUUAUGUGGAGCGGUAAAAUGCGUAGAUAUAUGAAAGAACACCAAUAUAGCGAAGGCAGUUAACUAUUCUGCUACUGACAUUGAGGCAUGAAAGCGUGGGGAGCAAAACGG
This 255-nucleotide ribosomal RNA is filed under the name uncultured bacterium. RNAcentral describes it as "partial 16S ribosomal RNA". It matches the Rfam family "Bacterial small subunit ribosomal RNA", at positions 524 to 776 of the family's 1533-position model. The record is from RNAcentral.